UACGGAGGAUGCGAGCGUUAUCCGGAUUUAUUGGGUUUAAAGGGUGCGUAGGCGGGCUGUUAAGUCAGCGGUAAAAGCCCGGGGCUCAACCCCGGCGAGCCGUUGAAACUGACGGUCUUGAGUGGGCGAGAAGUAUGCGGAAUGCGUGGUGUAGCGGUGAAAUGCAUAGAUAUCACGCAGAACCCCGAUUGCGAAGGCAGCAUACCGGCGCCCUACUGACGCUGAGGCACGAAAGUGCGGGUAUCGAACAGG
RNAcentral lists this ribosomal RNA (252 nucleotides) under uncultured Bacteroidales bacterium. Its description in RNAcentral is "partial 16S ribosomal RNA". It matches the Rfam family "Bacterial small subunit ribosomal RNA", at positions 524 to 776 of the family's 1533-position model. The record is from RNAcentral. Lineage: Bacteria; Pseudomonadati; Bacteroidota; Bacteroidia; Bacteroidales.